This 440-nucleotide ribosomal RNA is filed under the name uncultured Alphaproteobacteria bacterium. RNAcentral describes it as "bacterial SSU rRNA". It matches the Rfam family "Bacterial small subunit ribosomal RNA", at positions 339 to 771 of the family's 1533-position model. The record is from RNAcentral. Lineage: Bacteria; Pseudomonadati; Pseudomonadota; Alphaproteobacteria.
CUACGGGAGGCAGCAGUGGGGAAUAUUGGACAAUGGGCGCAAGCCUGAUCCAGCAAUGCCGCGUGUGUGAAGAAGGCCUGCGGGUUGUAAAGCACUUUUAUGAGGAAAGAAAAGCAGCGUGUUAAUAGCAUGUUGUCUUGACGGUACCUUAAGAAUAAGCACCGGCUAACUCCGUGCCAGCAGCCGCGGUACUACGGAGGGAGCUAGCGUUGUUCGGAAUUACUGGGCGUAAAGAGAACGUAGGCGGCUUUUCAAGUCAGGGGUGAAAUCCCCGGGCUCAACCCGGGAACUGCAUUCCAAACUGGAUAUCUAGAGUGCAGGAGAGGAAAGCGGAAUUCCUAGUGUAGCGGUGAAAUGCGUAGAUAUUAGGAAGAACACCAGUAGCGAAGGCGGCUUUCUGGACUGAAACUGACGCUGAGGUACGAAAGCGUGGGGAGCGA